UAGGGAAUCUUCCGCAAUCGGCGAAAGCCUGACGGAGCAACGCCGCGUGAGUGAUGAAGGUCCUCGGAUCGUAAAACUCUGUUAUUAGGGAAGAACAAAUGUGUAAGUAACUAUGCACGUCUUGACGGUACCUAAUCAGAAAGCCACGGCUAACUACGUGCCAGCAGCCGCGGUAAUACGUAGGUGGCAAGCGUUAUCCGGAAUUAUUGGGCGUAAAGCGCGCGUAGGCGGUUUUUUAAGUCUGAUGUGAAAGCCCACGGAUCAACCGUGGAGGGUCAUUGGAAACUGGAAAACUUGAGUGCAGAAGAGGAAAGUGGAAUUCCAUGUGUAGCGGUGAAAUGCGCAGAGAUAUGGAGGAACACCAGUGGCGAAGGCGACUUUCUGGUCUGUAACUGACGCUGAUGUGCGAAAGCGUGGGGAUCAAACAGG
RNAcentral lists this ribosomal RNA (429 nucleotides) under Actinomycetes bacterium. RNAcentral describes it as "Actinobacteria bacterium partial 16S ribosomal RNA". It matches the Rfam family "Bacterial small subunit ribosomal RNA", at positions 355 to 776 of the family's 1533-position model. The record is from RNAcentral. Lineage: Bacteria; Bacillati; Actinomycetota; Actinomycetes.